CCUACGGGAGGCAGCAGUGGGGAAUUUUGGACAAUGGGCGCAAGCCUGAUCCAGCUAUUCCGCGUGUGGGAAGACGGCCUUCGGGUUGUAAACCACUUUUGUAGAGAACGAAAAGUCUAUUGAUAAUACAGAUAGAUGAUGACGGUACUCUAAGAAUAAGCACCGGCUAACUACGUGCCAGCAGCCGCGGUAAUACGUAGGGUGCGAGCGGUAAUCGGAAUUACUGGGCGUAAAGGGUGUGCAGGCGGUUUUGCAAAAUGGAUGUGAAAGCCCCGGGCUUAACCUGGGAAAGCCAUACAUGACUGCAAGACUAGAGUGCGUCAGAGGGGGGUGGAAUUCCAAGUGUAGCAGUGAAAUGCGUAGAUAUUUGGAAGAACACCGAUGGCGAAGGCAGCCCCCUGGGACGCAACUGACGCUCAUACACGAAAGCGUGGGGAGCAAACAGGAUUAGAUACCCUUGUAGUC
RNAcentral lists this ribosomal RNA (465 nucleotides) under uncultured bacterium. RNAcentral's name for it is "partial 16S ribosomal RNA". It matches the Rfam family "Bacterial small subunit ribosomal RNA", at positions 338 to 795 of the family's 1533-position model. The record is from RNAcentral.